GUUGCAGAUAGUACUACUACGCGCGAUGCACGAGUUCGAAGUCGUGCUUGUCUCUAGAGUAGCGUUAAUCGCGUCCGGAUCCGGUGAGUAACCUGGGGCACCAAUUACGGCUGGGAUUACAGCCGAUGAAAUACGUGCAUACGCGGAGAAGCGAAUGUCUGCAUGUGCAUUCGUUAAAGAGCCCGCAUCAGUCGCUACAGGAUGGCGCGCGCAUUAGCCUAGUUGUGAGUACGCUCACCAGGCGACGAUGCGUACGACGACCGAGAGGUGAUCGCACACUGGAUGAGACACGCCAGAUCUCCGAUGCC
RNAcentral lists this ribosomal RNA (308 nucleotides) under Bacillus sp. R78. RNAcentral's name for it is "partial 16S ribosomal RNA". Lineage: Bacteria; Bacillati; Bacillota; Bacilli; Caryophanales; Bacillaceae. The record is from RNAcentral.